Long non-coding RNA from Saccostrea cuccullata (small rock oyster), 1234 nucleotides. RefSeq lists it as uncharacterized. NCBI's taxonomy places the organism in Eukaryota, Metazoa, Mollusca, Bivalvia, Ostreida, Ostreidae. The record is from RefSeq and is a predicted model, not a curated record. The transcript is spliced from 3 exons.
ACUAAACUAAAAUAUUUUAUCAAUAACUUAGUCAGAGUUGAUCAAUCCUGCUGAAAUAUAAGCUGUCAGACACUUCCAAAUACCAGUAAAUUAAAAUGAGAAAUUUACUUUAAUUUUAGACAAAAUGAUAUGCCCUGGAUUUCAAUGUAAAAGAAAACGAAUACCCUCAUGACACCACUUGCAGCAACAUUUCAGAGAAAUGAUUAAAGUGUCGUAAACAAAUCAAAGACAUGUUUAUCUAUAACACGAUCAAGUCAUCAUAGCAUCAGCACUGAUCUUUACUGUCCAUGAAGUCACAGGGGACAGAUAGUUGCCAGAGCUGAUCGCCUAUAGCUAGUUUUCCAUGAGCAUAUAUGAUUGGCAGUGAUUAAUAACAAUUACAAUGUGAGCUGGGGCCAGAAAGACAUCAAGUCUUUAUCUUUAAAGUAGAGAAUGAUGCAGGAAUUAGGAAGAUGACACCCAAGAAACUUGUUUAGGCUGUUUUACUUUGACUGAUGAAAAAAUGCUAUGAACCUUUGGAGACCAAAGAAUUGGAAUCGUCUCUAUUAUGAGGGAAAGAUGUAACCGAGAAAGAAACAUGGUUGACCUUCAUCACAACUUUGGUUUAAUUUCGUGGUAGAAAGGAAAAAUACUGUGGGUAUUAACCUGUUAACCAAGACAUUGUAAUAUGUGAUCACACUGCCAUUCAGUGAAAAAGCCCUUUGAGUUGAUACAUGAACACUGCACAUUGUACAUGCUUGUUCCGAAGUGGAAAAAUUUGUUUGUUCCUGUACCUAGUUUAUAGUAUACUUUAAGAAAGCCUUAAUUCAAAAAGUACUUUAUAAAAUGACAAAAUGAUUUUUCAUAUAUAUUCUGUAGAGUGUGUACAGAUAAAAAAUGUUUCUAAUAUGAAUAUUUACUGCAUUUCAUAUAAAAGAGAGAAAUUUUCCCAAAUUCUUCAUGAACGAUAAAAACUAAUAUGAUAUCACAAAACACAUGAUAAUGUUAGAGAGGAACGUUCCUUUAAAGAUAUUCUUAAGUGGGCUUUGCAAUGUAUCAACAGAUAUUCAUUACAAGACAGAGGAACGUUCCUCAAAUGCACUGGUUGCAAGCUUCAUUUGGUAUAAGUAAUCAACAGAAAUACAACCAUUUGUGAGAGGAACGUUCCUCAAAUGCAUGAUUUAAUAUGAAUAAGGUAUCAACAUAUACAAAUCUAAGAGAGGAACGUUUCUCAUACGUGUAAGUAUCCUGUGUG